CAGCCGUAAACUAUGCUCGCUAGGUGUCAGGCAUGGCGCGACCGUGUCUGGUGCCGCAGGGAAGCCGUGAAGCGAGCCACCUGGGAAGUACGGCCGCAAGGCUGAAACUUAAAGGAAUUGGCGGGGGAGCACAACAACGGGUGGAGCCUGCGGUUUAAUUGGACUCAACGCCGGGAAGCUCACCGGAUAAGACAGCGGAAUGAUUGCCGGGCUGAAGACUCUGCAUGACUAGCUGAGAGGUGGUGCAUGGCGUAGAC
This 257-nucleotide ribosomal RNA is filed under the name uncultured archaeon. Its description in RNAcentral is "partial 16S ribosomal RNA". It matches the Rfam family "Archaeal small subunit ribosomal RNA", at positions 748 to 1005 of the family's 1478-position model. The record is from RNAcentral.